GCGGGGGCAGCCGCGGCUGCCUUGGAAACCGCGCUGCCUAGACUCAGCAGCCCCUCUCUGGGCAGCCUUGCUGAGGUGCUGGCAGAGUCUGGCAGCCCGCGUUCGUUAGCAGCCGAGAAGGCGCCAUCCUUUUCCCCUGCAGGGCCACAGAGACUGGAAGGUGAAACCGAACUGUAGGCGACGCCAGAGCAUCCGUUGCCCACCUGCGGAGCCAAGCGGUCCAUCAAAGCCAAUUUUGAACUUGAAUUCUGUGCGUCUGAUUGCAGAACUGUGGCGCAGUCUCCAAGCUCAGAGCACCCGGAUCUGCGACCCCCUGUGGACAAAGAUCGGCCAUACUAGGGAGACAAGCUCUCUCAUUGAAGACACCUGUUGCAGAGGCCGGACAUGAA
Marmota flaviventris (yellow-bellied marmot) is the source of this 389-nucleotide non-coding RNA. NCBI's taxonomy places the organism in Eukaryota, Metazoa, Chordata, Mammalia, Rodentia, Sciuridae. The record is from RefSeq and is a predicted model, not a curated record.